This 204-nucleotide unclassified non-coding RNA is filed under the name Hevea brasiliensis (rubber tree). Lineage: Eukaryota; Viridiplantae; Streptophyta; Magnoliopsida; Malpighiales; Euphorbiaceae. The record is from RNAcentral.
CAACUGCUUCUUGCUCAUUUACCUUAUCCCACAAUCCAUCAGAGGCCAUUAUCAAGAACUCGCAAUCGGAAGUUAGUGGAAGACAUUUAAUUUCUGGAUCAGAAAUGACCCAAUCUUUUAAAUGCAGGUCUCCAAUAGCUCUAGAAAUGGCAAGUGAACCUUGAACUCUCCAAAUUCCAUUCCGGCAAUGCACAAAACCUCCAG